Molecule: ribosomal RNA, 497 nt
Filed under: uncultured bacterium
Lineage: Bacteria
Description: partial 16S ribosomal RNA
Rfam family: Bacterial small subunit ribosomal RNA
Source: RNAcentral
GAUGAACGCUGGCGGCGUGCCUAAUACAUGCAAGUCGAGCGAACAGAUGAGGAGCUUGCUCCUCUGACGUUAGCGGCGGACGGGUGAGUAACACGUGUAUAACCUACCUAUAAGACUGGGAUAACUUCGGGAAACCGGAGCUAAUACCGGAUAAUAUAUUGAACCGCAGGGUUCAAUAGUGAAAGACGGUUUUGCUGUCACUUAUAGAUGGAUCCGCGCCGCAUUAGCUAGUUGGUAAGGUAACGGCUUACAAAGGCAACGAUGCGUAGCCGACCUGAGAGGGGGAUCGGCCACACUGGAACUGAGACACGGUCCAGACUCCUACGGGAGGCAGCAGUAGGGAAUCUUCCGCAAUGGGCGAAAGCCUGACGGAGCAACGCCGCGUGAGUGAUGAAGGUCUUCGGAUCGUAAAACUCUGUUAUUAGGGAAGAACAAAUGUGUAAGUAACUAUGCACGUCUUGACGGUACCUAAUCAGAAAGCCACGGCUAACUACGUG